RNAcentral lists this ribosomal RNA (921 nucleotides) under Leuconostoc mesenteroides. RNAcentral's name for it is "bacterial SSU rRNA". It matches the Rfam family "Bacterial small subunit ribosomal RNA", at positions 59 to 965 of the family's 1533-position model. Lineage: Bacteria; Bacillati; Bacillota; Bacilli; Lactobacillales; Lactobacillaceae. The record is from RNAcentral.
UCGACGCACAGCGAAAGGUGCUUGCACCUUUCAAGUGAGUGGCGAACGGGUGAGUAACACGUGGACAACCUGCCUCAAGGCUGGGGAUAACAUUUGGAAACAGAUGCUAAUACCGAAUAAAACUUAGUGUCGCAUGACACAAAGUUAAAAGGCGCUUCGGCGUCACCUAGAGAUGGAUCCGCGGUGCAUUAGUUAGUUGGUGGGGUAAAGGCCUACCAAGACAAUGAUGCAUAGCCGAGUUGAGAGACUGAUCGGCCACAUUGGGACUGAGACACGGCCCAAACUCCUACGGGAGGCUGCAGUAGGGAAUCUUCCACAAUGGGCGAAAGCCUGAUGGAGCAACGCCGCGUGUGUGAUGAAGGCUUUCGGGUCGUAAAGCACUGUUGUAUGGGAAGAACAGCUAGAAUAGGAAAUGAUUUUAGUUUGACGGUACCAUACCAGAAAGGGACGGCUAAAUACGUGCCAGCAGCCGCGGUAAUACGUAUGUCCCGAGCGUUAUCCGGAUUUAUUGGGCGUAAAGCGAGCGCAGACGGUUUAUUAAGUCUGAUGUGAAAGCCCGGAGCUCAACUCCGGAAUGGCAUUGGAAACUGGUUAACUUGAGUGCAGUAGAGGUAAGUGGAACUCCAUGUGUAGCGGUGGAAUGCGUAGAUAUAUGGAAGAACACCAGUGGCGAAGGCGGCUUACUGGACUGCAACUGACGUUGAGGCUCGAAAGUGUGGGUAGCAAACAGGAUUAGAUACCCUGGUAGUCCACACCGUAAACGAUGAACACUAGGUGUUAGGAGGUUUCCGCCUCUUAGUGCCGAAGCUAACGCAUUAAGUGUUCCGCCUGGGGAGUACGACCGCAAGGUUGAAACUCAAAGGAAUUGACGGGGACCCGCACAAGCGGUGGAGCAUGUGGUUUAAUUCGAAGCAACGCGAG